Molecule: ribosomal RNA, 766 nt
Filed under: bacterium xpnta564lb727off11.20
Lineage: Bacteria
Description: bacterial SSU rRNA
Rfam family: Bacterial small subunit ribosomal RNA
Source: RNAcentral
UACACAUGCAGUCGACGAUGAAGCCCAGCUUGCUGGGUGGAUUAGUGGCGAACGGGUGAGUAACACGUGAGUAACCUGCCCUUGACUCUGGGAUAAGCGCUGGAAACGGCGUCUAAUACCGGAUACGACCUGCCCCGGCAUCGGGUGCGGGUGGAAAGUUUUUCGGUCAAGGAUGGACUCGCGGCCUAUCAGCUUGUUGGUGAGGUAAUGGCUCACCAAGGCGACGACGGGUAGCCGGCCUGAGAGGGUGACCGGCCACACUGGGACUGAGACACGGCCCAGACUCCUACGGGAGGCAGCAGUGGGGAAUAUUGCACAAUGGGCGAAAGCCUGAUGCAGCAACGCCGCGUGGGGGAUGACGGCCUUCGGGUUGUAAACCUCUUUUAGUAGGGAAGAAGGACUUCGGUUUGACGGUACCUGCAGAAAAAGCACCGGCUAACUACGUGCCAGCAGCCGCGGUAAUACGUAGGGUGCAAGCGUUGUCCGGAAUUAUUGGGCGUAAAGAGCUCGUAGGCGGUUUGUCGCGUCUGCUGUGAAAACCCGAGGCUCAACCUCGGGCCUGCAGUGGGUACGGGCAGACUAGAGUGCGGUAGGGGAGAAUGGAAUUCCUGGUGUAGCGGUGGAAUGCGCAGAUAUCAGGAGGAACACCGAUGGCGAAGGCAGUUCUCUGGGCCGUUACUGACGCUGAGGAGCGAAAGCGUGGGGAGCGAACAGGAUUAGAUACCCUGGUAGUCCACGCCGUAAACGUUGGGAACUAGAUGUGGGG